Molecule: ribosomal RNA, 654 nt
Filed under: uncultured Bacilli bacterium
Lineage: Bacteria; Bacillati; Bacillota; Bacilli
Description: bacterial SSU rRNA
Rfam family: Bacterial small subunit ribosomal RNA
Source: RNAcentral
GUCAGCGGCGGACGGGUGAGUAACACGUGGGUAACCUGCCUGUAAGACUGGGAUAACUCCGGGAAACCGGGGCUAAUACCGGAUGCUUGAUUGAACCGCAUGGUUCAAUCAUAAAAGGUGGCUUUCAGCUACCACUUACAGAUGGACCCGCGGCGCAUUAGCUAGUUGGUGAGGUAACGGCUCACCAAGGCGACGAUGCGUAGCCGACCUGAGAGGGUGAUCGGCCACACUGGGACUGAGACACGGCCCAGACUCCUACGGGAGGCAGCAGUAGGGAAUCUUCCGCAAUGGACGAAAGUCUGACGGAGCAACGCCGCGUGAGUGAUGAAGGUUUUCGGAUCGUAAAACUCUGUUGUUAGGGAAGAACAAGUACCGUUCGAAUAGGGCGGCACCUUGACGGUACCUAACCAGAAAGCCACGGCUAACUACGUGCCAGCAGCCGCGGUAAUACGUAGGUGGCAAGCGUUGUCCGGAAUUAUUGGGCGUAAAGCGCGCGCAGGCGGUUUCUUAAGUCUGAUGUGAAAGCCCCCGGCUCAACCGGGGAGGGUCAUUGGAAACUGGGGAACUUGAGUGCAGAAGAGGAGAGUGGAAUUCCACGUGUAGCGGUGAAAUGCGUAGAGAUGUGGAGGAACACCAGUGGCGAAGGCGACUCUC